UCGUUAACGAACGAGACCUCGACCUGCUAAAUAGUUUAACAAAAGGUUCUCCUUUUGAUAUAGACUUCUUAGAGGGACUAUCGGUGUGUAGCCGACGGAAGUUCGAGGCAAUAACAGGUCUGUGAUGCCCUUAGAUGUUCUGGGCCGCACGCGCGCUACACUGAUACAUGCAUCGAGUAUACAACCUAUACUGAUAAGUAUGGGUAAUCUUCGCAACAUGUAUCGUGCUGGGGAUAGAUGAUUGUAAUUAUUCAUCUUCAACGAGGAAUUCCUAGUAAACGCAAGUCAUCAACUUGCAUUGAUUACGUCCCUGCCCUUUGUACACACCGCCCGUCGCUAAUACCGAUUGAAUGGAUA
This 357-nucleotide ribosomal RNA is filed under the name Eukaryota sp. RNAcentral's name for it is "SSU rRNA". It matches the Rfam family "Eukaryotic small subunit ribosomal RNA", at positions 1325 to 1699 of the family's 1831-position model. The record is from RNAcentral.